CUACUCUUGACAUCCUGCGAACUUGGUAGAGACCUUUGGUGCCUUCGGGAACGCAGAGACAGGUGCUGCAUGGCUGUCGUCAGCUCGUGUUGUGAAAUGUUGGGUUAAGUCCCGUAACGAGCGCAACCCUUGUCCUUAGUUGCCAUCAUUUAGUUGGGGACUCUAAGGAGACUGCCGGUGACAAACCGGAGGAAGGCGGGGACGACGUCAAGUCAUCAUGGCCCUUACGAGUAGGGCUACACACGUGCUACAAUGGCAAGUACAGAGGGCCGCAAAGCCGCGAGGUGGAGCUAAUCUCACAAAGCUUGUCGUAGUCCGGAUUGGAGUCUGCAACUCGACUCCAUGAAGUCGGAAUCGCUAGUAAUCGUGAAUCAGAAUGUCACGGUGAAUACGUUCCC
Molecule: ribosomal RNA, 398 nt
Filed under: uncultured bacterium
Lineage: Bacteria
Description: bacterial SSU rRNA
Rfam family: Bacterial small subunit ribosomal RNA
Source: RNAcentral